CACUCCCCUUUCCUUCAGGUGUGUAGCAUAAAUCAUUGCGGUGGUAGCUAGUUAGCAAAGACGCCGUGUUUUUGAUGCUGUCGAGUGUAGCGUGGGCACACCGCUCUCUCUGUCCCUCUGUUUGUGGUUGAGCCACCGUACAGGAAAGCCCUGUCCAUCGGCGGCUGGCGUGGGGUCGGCUGCUGUUCUGGGAUGGUGUGCUGAGCUGGGCAAACUCAAGUGUCGCUGGUGAUGUUCUUCCACUUUGUGUCCUGUGUGGUUGACUGCUUGCAUGCCGCUUCGAGAGAACCAGAGGUAAUGCCGGCAUUUUCUGUAAGAGUUUCGACGCUUAGCACUUGACUUGUGUAGGGAGUUGUGUGGGGUGGGAGUGGGGGUGCUCCGCAGGUGCGAUGGCGGGACUGGCGGCGUGGUGCCUUUGAUAUCGCGCUGUGGUGUCGUGGUUGCACCUGUGGGAGCGCCCACAUUUCCACAAUACACAACUCCUGUUGAAUCGAGUUAUAAAUGCCGUUCCUAAUGGUAACUUUCUCG
Long non-coding RNA from Engraulis encrasicolus (European anchovy), 528 nucleotides. RefSeq lists it as uncharacterized. The record is from RefSeq and is a predicted model, not a curated record. The transcript has 3 exons. NCBI's taxonomy places the organism in Eukaryota, Metazoa, Chordata, Actinopteri, Clupeiformes, Engraulidae.